This 312-nucleotide ribosomal RNA is filed under the name Salmonella enterica subsp. enterica serovar Ituri. RNAcentral describes it as "partial 23S ribosomal RNA". It matches the Rfam family "Bacterial large subunit ribosomal RNA", at positions 57 to 409 of the family's 2925-position model. Lineage: Bacteria; Pseudomonadati; Pseudomonadota; Gammaproteobacteria; Enterobacterales; Enterobacteriaceae. The record is from RNAcentral.
CGUGCUAAUCUGCGAUAAGCGCCGGUAAGGUGAUAUGAACCGUUAUAACCGGCGAUACCCGAAUGGGGAAACCCAGUGUGAUUCGUCACACUAUCAUUAACUGAAUCCAUAGGUUAAUGAGGCGAACCGGGGGAACUGAAACAUCUAAGUACCCCGAGGAAAAGAAAUCAACCGAGAUUCCCCCAGUAGCGGCGAGCGAACGGGGAGGAGCCCAGAGCCUGAAUCAGCAUGUGUGUUAGUGGAAGCGUCUGGAAAGGCGCGCGAUACAGGGUGACAGCCCCGUACACAAAAGCGCAUGUGCUGUGAGCUCGA